This 164-nucleotide ribosomal RNA is filed under the name uncultured Bacillota bacterium. Its description in RNAcentral is "uncultured Firmicutes bacterium partial 16S ribosomal RNA". It matches the Rfam family "Bacterial small subunit ribosomal RNA", at positions 345 to 525 of the family's 1533-position model. Lineage: Bacteria; Bacillati; Bacillota. The record is from RNAcentral.
GAGGCAGCAGNNGGGAAUAUUGCACAACAGGGGCAAGCCUGAUGCAGCAACGCCGCGUGAGUGAGAAGGCCUUCGGGUCGUAAAACUCUGUCCUAUGGGAAGAAAAGAUGACGGUACCAUGGGAGGAAGCCCCGGNUNACUACGUGCCAGCCGCCGCGGUAAUA